GAUGAACGCUGGCGGCGUGCCUAAUACAUGCAAGUCGAGCGAACAGACGAGGAGCUUGCUCCUCUGACGUUAGCGGCGGACGGGUGAGUAACACGUGGAUAACCUACCUAUAAGACUGGGAUAACUUCGGGAAACCGGAGCUAAUACCGGAUAAUAUAUUGAACCGCAUGGUUCAAUAGUGAAAGACGGUUUUGCUGUCACUUAUAGAUGGAUCCGCGCCGCAUUAGCUAGUUGGUAAGGUAACGGCUUACCAAGGCAACGAUUCGUAGCCGACCUGAGAGGGUGAUCGGCCACACGGGAACUGAGACACGGUCCAGACUCCUACGGGAGGCAGCAGUAGGGAAUCUUCCGAAAUGGGCGAAAGCCUGACGGAGCAACGCCGCGUGAGUGAUGAAGGUCUUCGGAUCGUAAAACUCUGUUAUUAGGGAAGAACAAAUGUGUAAGUAACUAUGCACGUCUUGACGGUACCUAAUCAGAAAGCCACGGCUAACUACGUG
RNAcentral lists this ribosomal RNA (497 nucleotides) under uncultured bacterium. Its description in RNAcentral is "partial 16S ribosomal RNA". It matches the Rfam family "Bacterial small subunit ribosomal RNA", at positions 28 to 507 of the family's 1533-position model. The record is from RNAcentral.